CGACGUAGGUAACCUGCCUGGUAGCGGGGGGUAACUAUUGGAAACGAUAGCUAAUACCGCAUAAUAGCAGUUGUUGCAUGACAACUGUUUGAAAGGUGCAAUUGCACCACUACCAGAUGGACCUGCGUUGUAUUAGCUAGUUGGUGGGGUAACGGCUCACCAAGGCGACGAUACAUAGCCGACCUGAGAGGGUGAUCGGCCACACUGGGACUGAGACACGGCCCAG
RNAcentral lists this ribosomal RNA (226 nucleotides) under uncultured bacterium. RNAcentral describes it as "partial 16S ribosomal RNA". It matches the Rfam family "Bacterial small subunit ribosomal RNA", at positions 113 to 334 of the family's 1533-position model. The record is from RNAcentral.